GGAAUCGAUAAGCGCUGAAAGCAUCUAAGCGCGAAGCGAGCCCUGAGAUGAGUCUUCCCUGGCACUUUAAGUGUCCUAAAGGGUUGUUCGAGACUAGAACGUUGAUAGGCAGGGUGUGUAAGUGCUGUGAGGCAUUGAGCUAACCUGUACUAAUUGCCCGUGAGGCUUAACCAUACAACACCCAAGGGGUUU
RNAcentral lists this ribosomal RNA (192 nucleotides) under Vibrio sp. B1Z05. Its description in RNAcentral is "partial 23S ribosomal RNA". It matches the Rfam family "Bacterial large subunit ribosomal RNA", at positions 2757 to 2925 of the family's 2925-position model. The record is from RNAcentral. Lineage: Bacteria; Pseudomonadati; Pseudomonadota; Gammaproteobacteria; Vibrionales; Vibrionaceae.